This 205-nucleotide unclassified non-coding RNA is filed under the name soil metagenome. RNAcentral's name for it is "partial contains 5.8S ribosomal RNA, internal transcribed spacer 2, and large subunit ribosomal RNA". The record is from RNAcentral.
AACCUUAUGGACCUGCGGGCGUAUACCUGCGGAAGGAUCAUUAUAGAGUUUUCUAAACUCCCAACCCAUGUGAACUUACCUUUUGUUGCCUCGGCAGAAGUUAUAGGUCUUCUUAUAGCUGCUGCCGGUGGACCAUUAAACUCUUGUUAUUUUAUGUAAUCUGAGCGUCUUAUUUUAAUAAGUCAAAACUUUUAACAAUGGAUCU